RNAcentral lists this long non-coding RNA (1045 nucleotides) under Capra hircus (goat). RNAcentral describes it as "lncRNA (ENSCHIG00010018469.1)". Lineage: Eukaryota; Metazoa; Chordata; Mammalia; Artiodactyla; Bovidae. The record is from RNAcentral.
AUGCUUAGGAGAACAGUUCCCACAGCCGAAUCCGCCCAAUGCCUUCCUCAGAUGCCAGCCGGCACUUCAGUGUCAACCCUUCUCAGCAUCCCACCCACUUUGGGGGUCUCCAAAGAUUGGGGGCCUUGUUGUGGGGAGACAGGUGAGAGCUAUCUCCUGAACCCUCCCUAUGCCCUCCACACCCUUCUCUGGAUGGUAGGAUUGGGGNGGGGGGGGGGGGGGGGGGGGGGGGUGUUCACCUGGCUGAGGUCAGUGGUAGAGAAUCUGGCAGGCUCCCUCUCUCCGCCCUGGGGUCUGACCCCCACCCCUGCCAAAGAAAAAUGCCACCCCCGCCCCAAAAACAGAGCAGGCCACCAUAGGUCUCACUCAGAUGGGGCAGAACCAAGCAAAUGCCAGUGGGAGUUCCAUUUUUCGAAUAAACGAUCACAGAAGAAGCCCCAUCUCCCAAACACGCAAGCCUUCCCUCCUCCCUUCAGCAGCCUGACUCGGAAUUACUGGAACAGUUAUCAAAGCUCAAAGAGAAACGGGAUCUGUAGGCGCCGAGAUGCAGAUGAGGGUGGGAAUCAGGGGGUGGGGGGUGGCUGUCUCGGAAAUGCCCAAAAUGGGGUGGGAGAGGGCGGGCGAGAGGGAAGAGGAAGGGGUAGGCGUCCAUGGCUGCCUCGACAGGUCCAAAGUCUCCCAGAGAGCAGCCAGCUUCCAACUUGUUUACUUGACGGCGUGUUUUGAGGUUUCCAAACGGAAAGAGUUAAACCUCUCGGCUGGAUCGAGAGCAGUCUCUGUCACCUUUCCUCCCGGCUAAGCGCUGCCGCCGCCGCCACUGUCGCUGCCCGGCGCGGCUGCCAGGGAAUCGAACCUCGUCUACUUUAUUCCACUUGAGCGUGGCCAAACUGUUGCUAUUUAGUGGGGGGCCAAGAAUCCGAUUCACACCCUCGAAACGAGCCGCAGCGGGUGGGGGGCGGGGGCGGGAGCCGGGUCCCGCGUGCCCCGGCCGCUGGGGUCCUCUCGGGGGAGAGGCUCACACACGCGCGCGCGCGCGCGCACACAC